Molecule: ribosomal RNA, 501 nt
Filed under: uncultured bacterium
Lineage: Bacteria
Description: partial 16S ribosomal RNA
Rfam family: Bacterial small subunit ribosomal RNA
Source: RNAcentral
AUUGAACGCUGGCGGCAUGCCUUACACAUGCAAGUCGAACGGCAGCACGGGUGCUUGCACCUGGUGGCGAGUGGCGAACGGGUGAGUAAUACAUCGGAACGUACCUUAUCGUGGGGGAUAACGCAGCGAAAGCUGUGCUAAUACCGCAUACGCCCUGAGGGGGAAAGCGGGGGAUCGCAAGACCUCGCGCGAUUAGAGCGGCCGAUGCCUGAUGAGCUUGUUGGUGGGGUAAAAGCCCACCAAGGCGACGAUCAGUAGCUGGUCUGAGAGGACGAUCAGCCACACUGGGACUGAGACACGGCCCAGACUCCUACGGGAGGUAGCAGUGGGGAAUUUUGGACAAUGGGGGCAACCCUGAUCCAGCAAUGCCGCGUGAGUGAAGAAGGCCUUCGGGUUGUAAAGCUCUUUUGUCAGGGAAGAAACACCGGCUCUAACACAGUCCGGGAAUGACGGUACCUGAAGAAUAAGCACCGGCUAACUACGUGCCAGCAGCCGCUGUAA